UAGGGAAUAUUGGGCAAUGGGCGGAAGCCUGACCCAGCCAUGCCGCGUGCAGGAAGACGGCCUUCGGGUUGUAAACUGCUUUUAUACAGGAAGAAUCGCACUUUGCGAAGUGUAGUGACGGUACUGUAUGAAUAAGCACCGGCUAACUCCGUGCCAGCAGCCGCGGUAAUACGGAGGGUGCAAGCGUUGUCCGGAUUUAUUGGGUUUAAAGGGUACGUAGGCGGUAUAUUAAGUCAGUGGUGAAAGUCUCCAGCUUAACUGAAGAAGUGCCAUUGAUACUGGUAUACUUGAGUGUUGUAAGGGUGGGCGGAAUUCCGCAUGUAGCGGUGAAAUGCAUAGAUAUGCGGAGGAACACCAAAAGCGAAGGCAGCUCACUAGGCAACAACUGACGCUGAGGUACGAAAGCGUGGGGAGCGAACAGGAUUAGAUACCCCGGUAGUCC
Molecule: ribosomal RNA, 442 nt
Filed under: uncultured prokaryote
Description: bacterial SSU rRNA
Rfam family: Bacterial small subunit ribosomal RNA
Source: RNAcentral